UUGUUAUGGAAGAACACUCUUUAAUCGCUUUUAAUUUAGGUUAGUUACAAAUGACUAAGACCAUCGUUAUUUAUACUUGUGUAAAGAUGGUUCUAAAUACCUAUUCUAGAUACAUCUACAAGAACAAUCUAGAUAACCUUAUCUUCUAACUAUCUAACAAGAAUCUAGACUAUUCUAUGAUUUACCACAAAUAUCUAAUCUAGAACAUCUAUACAAUUGUGAGAUACAUCAAGUACUUAAGGUAUAACUUUACAUAACUCUAGAAAGUUCUACUAAAUGUCCAUGAUUAUUUG
This 293-nucleotide long non-coding RNA is filed under the name Solanum tuberosum (potato). RNAcentral describes it as "long non-coding RNA (STUB_LNC003777)". Lineage: Eukaryota; Viridiplantae; Streptophyta; Magnoliopsida; Solanales; Solanaceae. The record is from RNAcentral.